AUGGGCUUCCAGGACGCGCCCAGCGGGAGCGGCGGCGCCGGGAACCUGUCCCUCGCCAGCGUCGGCUUCGCCGGCGCCGGGGUCGGGGUGGGGGUCGGGGCCAAGGGGGCCGCCUCCAGCGGCGGCGGAUACAAGGAGCUCCUCGUCAUGGCGCUGCCCAAGGACGACGGCCUCGACGCCGCCAAGGUCAUCGGCGCCGGGCUGCCGGACGUCGGGGAGGCCUUCAGGACAUUUUUUAGAAGUAGAGAGAUUAGAGAAUUUGCCAGUGGGGCGUUAGCUGGUGCUAUGUCCAAAGCUGUUCUUGCUCCCCUUGAGACUAUCAGGACAAGAAUGGUUGUAGGCGUAGGAUCCAGACAUAUCGCUGGCAGUUUUGUGGAGAUCAUGGAACAUAAUGGGUGGAGAGGGCUUUGGGUGGGCAAUACAAUCAACAUGAUCCGCAUUAUUCCCACUCAAGCAAUUGAGCUUGGAACAUUUGAGUAUGUCAAAAGGGGCAUGAAGUCAGCACAAGAGAAAUGGAAAGAGGAUGGAUGCCCAAAGAUACAGCUUGGUAAUAUGAAAAUCGAUAUUCCACUCCACUUGUUAUCUCCAGUUGCUAUUGCUGGUGCGGCUGCUGGAAUUGCUGGUACAUUGAUGUGCCAUCCUCUUGAAGUAAUUAAGGAUCGCCUGACAGUGGAUCGAGUGACUUAUCCUAGCAUUAGCAUUGCCUUCAGCAAGAUAUAUCGAACUGAAGGUAUCAGAGGUCUCUAUUCUGGCCUCUGCCCGACACUAAUUGGCAUGCUUCCUUACAGCACAUGCUACUACUUUAUGUACGACACAAUCAAGACCUCAUACUGCCGCCUACAUAAGAAGAAAUCCUUGAGCCGUCCUGAGCUACUAAUUAUCGGAGCUCUGACAGGUCUGACGGCGAGCACGAUCAGCUUCCCCCUGGAGGUGGCGAGGAAGCGGCUCAUGGUAGGCGCCCUGCAGGGGAAGUGCCCGCCCAACAUGGUGGCGGCCCUGUCAGAAGUGAUCCGGGAGGAGGGCCUCCUGGGGAUCUACCGCGGGUGGGGGGCGAGCUGCCUCAAGGUGAUGCCGAAUUCGGGCAUCACCUGGAUGUUCUACGAGGCGUGGAAGGACAUCCUCCUGGGCGAGAAGGACAAGCACCUCGACUAG
RNAcentral lists this ribosomal RNA (1152 nucleotides) under Triticum aestivum (bread wheat). RNAcentral describes it as "partial small subunit ribosomal RNA". Lineage: Eukaryota; Viridiplantae; Streptophyta; Magnoliopsida; Poales; Poaceae. The record is from RNAcentral.